This 467-nucleotide ribosomal RNA is filed under the name uncultured bacterium. RNAcentral describes it as "partial 16S ribosomal RNA". It matches the Rfam family "Bacterial small subunit ribosomal RNA", at positions 28 to 507 of the family's 1533-position model. The record is from RNAcentral.
GAUGAACGCUGGCGGCGUGCUUAACACAUGCAAGUCGAACGGAAAGGCCCAAGCUUGCUUGGGUACUCGGGUGGCGAACGGGUGAGUAACACGUGGGUGAUCUGCCCUGCACUUCGGGAUAAGCCUGGGAAACUGGGUCUAAUACCGGAUAGGACCACUUCUUGGAUGUUGUGGUGGAAAGUUUUUUCGGUGUGGGAUGAGCUCGCGGCCUAUCAGCUUGUUGGUGGGGUAAUGGCCUACCAAGGCGUCGACGGGUAGCCGGCCUGAGAGGGUGUACGGCCACAUUGGGACUGAGAUACGGCCCAGACUCCGACGGGAGGCAGCAGUGGGGAAUAUUGCACAAUGGGCGCAAGCCUGAUGCAGCGACGCCGCGUGGGGGAUGACGGCCUUCGGGUUGUAAACUCCUUUCGCUAGGGACGAAGCGUUUUGUGACGGUACCUGGAGAAGAAGCACCGGCUAACUACGUG